GGCGUCCCGUGUGGCUCAGUUGGUAGAGCAUGGUGUUUGCAACGCCAGGGUUGUGGGUUCGAUUCCCACGGGGGACCAGUACGGAGAAAAAAUGUAUGAAAUGUAUGCAUUCACUACUGUAAGUCGCUCUGGAUAAGAGCAUCUGCUAAAUGACUAAAAUGUAAAUGUAAAAAAUGUGUGGGUGAGCGGUUUGCUGACGUCAACAUUGUGAACAGAGUGGCCCCAUGGUGGCGGUGGGGUUAUGGUAUGGGGCAGGCAUAAGCUACGGACAACAUACACAAUUGCAAUUUGAAUGCACAGAGAUACUAUGACGAGAUCCUGGUAUAUGAUCUGAGGUCCAAUGUCGUGCCAUUCAUCCACCGCCAUCACCUCAUGUUUCAACAUAAUAACACACGACCCCAUUUCACAAGGAUCUGUACACAAUUCCUGGAAGCUGAGAAUUUCCCAGUUUUUCCAUGGUCUGCAAAAUCACCAGACGUCACCACACCCGUUGAGCAUGUUUGGGAUGCUCUGGAUCGACGUGUAUGAUGGCGUAUUCCAGUUCCCGUCGAUAUCCAGCAUCGUCACACGACCAUUUGAAGAGGAGUGGGACAACAUUCCAUAAUCAACAGUCUGAUCAACUCUCUGUGAAGAUGUCACGCGGCAUAAGGCAAAUGGUGGUCACACCAGACACUGACUGGUUUUCUGAUCUAUGCCCAUAGCUUUCUUUUUUUUCCUUUUUUUUUUUCAAGAUAUCUGUGACCAACUGUAAUCCCAGUUAUGUGAAAUCCAUAGAUUAGGGCCUAAUAGAAUUUUUCAGUUGACUGAUUUCCUCAUAUGAACUGUAACUCCAGUAAAAUCUUUGAAAUUGUUGCGUAUUGCGUUUUUAUAUUUUUUGUUCAGUGCAAUCCUAACAGUUUCCCUUCCUCCUCCCUGUAGAGAUUAGUAAAGAUGGCCUUGCAGGUAAACCUACUGUUAAGAGACCAGGCUCCUCGCCUGACAUGAAAGCUGCUGGUCCGAAGAAGGCCAGAUCAGACCAGUGAGGGGGUUCAUUCCUCUCCCCUUGUUGUCCAUGAUGACUGAACUGAAUACAACACCUUCCUACUGAAUACAAUACCCCAGGCUCCACCUAGACCCCGGACCCCAACCUCUACCAGAACCCCAUCUAACCCUACAACAGCACAUCCUGAACCUUGACCAGGCCCCAUCCUGAACCUUGACCAGGCCCCAUCCUGAACCUUGACCAGGCCCCAUCCUGAACCUUGACCAGGCCCCAUCCUGAACCUUGACCAGGCCCCAUCCUGAACCUUGACCAGGCCCCAUCCUGAACCUUGACCAGGCCCCAUCCUGAACCUUGACCAGGCCCCAUCCUGAACCUUGACCAGGCCCCAUCCUGAACCUAGACCAGGCCCCAUCCUGAACCUAGACCAGGCC
This 1413-nucleotide long non-coding RNA is filed under the name Salmo salar (Atlantic salmon). RNAcentral's name for it is "lncRNA (ENSSSAG00000089785.1)". The stretch from base 106 to 159 matches the Rfam family "UnaL2 LINE 3' element". Lineage: Eukaryota; Metazoa; Chordata; Actinopteri; Salmoniformes; Salmonidae. The record is from RNAcentral.